GGCGAUUUGGCGGAGUGGUUAUCGCGGUAGAUUAGAACUUCUGUUCACAAUUGAUCUUCUUCCCCCUGGGAGCACAGGUUCGAAUCCUGUAGUCGUCG
Molecule: transfer RNA, 98 nt
Filed under: Violaceomyces palustris
Lineage: Eukaryota; Fungi; Basidiomycota; Ustilaginomycetes; Violaceomycetales; Violaceomycetaceae
Description: tRNA-Ser
Rfam family: tRNA
About the family: Transfer RNA (tRNA) molecules are approximately 80 nucleotides in length. Their secondary structure includes four short double-helical elements and three loops (D, anti-codon, and T loops).
Source: RNAcentral